CUUAAGCAUAUCAAUAAGCGGAGGAAAAGAAACCAACAGGGAUUGCCCUAGUAACGGCGAGUGAAGCGGCAACAGCUCAAAUUUGAAAUCUGGCUCCUCGCGGGUCCGAGUUGUAAUUUGUAGAGGAUGCUUUGGGUGCGGUGCCUUCCGAGUUCCCUGGAACGGGACGCCGGAGAGGGUGAGAGCCCCGUACGGUUGGCCGCCUACUCCUACGUAUAGCUCCUUCGACGAGUCGAGUAGUUUGGGAAUGCUGCUCUAAAUGGGAGGUAAAUUUCUUCUAAAGCUAAAUACCGGCCAGAGACCGAUAGCGCACAAGUAGAGUGAUCGAAAGAUGAAAAGUACUUUGAAAAGAGGGUUAAACAGCACGUGAAAUUGUUGAAAGGGAAGCGUUUGCGACCAGACCUAUUCCUGGCCGGCGAUCCGGUGUUAGUCACUGGUGAAAACCGGCCUCGUCUAGGCCAGCAUCGGUCUUCGUAGGGGGUUAAAGGCUGGGGGAACGUGACUCCUUCGGGAGGGUUAUAGCCCCUUGCGUAAUACUCCUGCGGGGACCGAGGACCGCGUCCUCUCUUUUGGGGGCUAGGAUGCUGGCGUAAUGGUCGCCAACGACCCGUCUUGAAACACGGACCAAGGAGUCGAACAUUUGUGCGAGUGUUUGGGUAGUAAAACCCUGACGCGUAAUGAAAGUGAACGAAGGUGAGAGCCCCUUUUGUGGGGGUGCAUCAUCGACCGAUCCUGAUGUCAUCGGAUGGAUUUGAGUAAGAGCAUGACUGUUCGGACCCGAAAGAUGGUGAACUAUGCGUGGAUAGGGUGAAGCCAGAGGAAACUCUGGUGGAGGCUCGCAGCGGUUCUGACGUGCAAAUCGAUCGUCAAAUCUGCGCAUGGGGGCGAAAGACUUAUCGAACCAUCUAGUAGCUGGUUACCGCCGAAGU
RNAcentral lists this ribosomal RNA (929 nucleotides) under Hypoxylon sp. Its description in RNAcentral is "partial large subunit ribosomal RNA". It matches the Rfam family "Eukaryotic large subunit ribosomal RNA", at positions 33 to 967 of the family's 3401-position model. The record is from RNAcentral. Lineage: Eukaryota; Fungi; Ascomycota; Sordariomycetes; Xylariales; Hypoxylaceae.